UCUUUUAAUUAUGCCUUUGUACUCUAAGAUGUUGGUAAUGAAAUGAAAUAAGACACUAACUAAAUAUUAUAAUUAGAUUAUUUUCUUCUCUUGAUUUUGGAUCCAUCACAAUAACCUCCAAUUGAAACUUUCACAUUUUCUUUCUAACACAACCACCUAUCAUGUUAUCUUGAAUAGUUAAGUUUUAAAAUGUUCAAUUUAUAUUUCUCUUAAAUGGAGAUAUUGUCGGUUUAUUUCUUUAUUAUAAGAAGAAAUUGUUAGUUCUAAGGUCUAGUCGAUCUUCAUUCCAUGACAUUGCGUUAACAUGAAUCUUCACCGGACACGGGUCCUUAUAUCCCCCAUUUACUCCUAUUGAGGUAUAGAUCCCUAGAAUGGAUUACUCCAUUAAAAUUGAACAAAAUGAGGCUAGUAUUAAAGAUCUCAAGUCCAGAGCCCAUAUAGAGAAUGAUUAACACCUAUAGGGAAUUAGGGUUAUGGAGGAAGGUGUGGUUCUUUGUCGGCCUUGUUUUCAGGGAUACCUCAGAACUCAGCUGGUGCGAUCAUUCACCGACUUCAAGAAGAUAUCCGCAAAAAUACUACAUCUGGACACAUGAAAAGGGAGAUUCCGUUGAUAGAUUUUUGAAUCUAGGAUGAUCAAUAUAUGUGAUAUGAUAUGUAUGUUCCUUAAUAUAUUUCUUUAUUUGGAUGGUGGCUAGUUGUCGAGUUAUUGUUAGAAUUUAGGUCUACAUAAAAACAUAUUUCAUAAAACAUGUUCAAUAAUUUUAAAUUAAUAGUGGAAGCAAAAAAAACAUUGAACAUUAAUAUGAUUGGAUCUAGGACAUGUUUGAUUUAUCUACGGUAUUAAUAAUUAGGGUGCAGUUUAACCUGGGAAAGGAAACUUCUUUCCCACCAUGGGAAAGUCCCUUCUCCCAGGACAGCUGUCAGUUAUAACUGGCUAUGCCAAAAACAAAAAAAAAACUCAAUUUUGUUUUUUAAAGUUGUUUGUAACAUUCCUGCUCCACCUCCCCAUUUGCUCACAACAGCACAACGUAAUCCUCACCUGCAUUUAGUACUAAAGCAUUAAAACAUCGAUUCUUCUUCUUCUCAAACAUUCCAGAACACUGCAGAGCAUAACAAAACCCAGCAAAAAAACCUUAAAAAAUAUCCAAAGUAUAUAUACUAUUCUAAGAUUGUAAAUAUUCAUUUUAAACAUCAAUUCUUCUUCUUUUGUUCUAUUACUUGAUGAUUUUGAUUGUGGUAGUUUUAAGGAUGCUAUGGCGGUGGAAUAGAGAAAUUGCAAAUCCUGUAUGGAAUACCCACCUACCCCUUUCUAAAAAAAAAUGAAAUUGAAAAAGAGAUGAUAAAAUCAAUUGAAGGAACUACAAGGUAAAUAAAUAAAUUAGGCUGAAAUAAAAUUGAAGUUGGGUGUUAAUGGAGUUGGGUAAAGAAGAAGUGGAGUGUUAGCGUUGGUGUAGUAAUAAUUUUGAGGAAGAUGGUUAUGGAACUUCGGGUCACUAACUUAACCCCUCUUAGGAUUAUUAUUUUUUUUAAUUAAUCAAUUUUAUAAAAAAAAACACGUAACUAGUGCAUUAUCAAUAAUAAUGGUAUACUACCACUGUAUAACUAUACCCAUUGAAUAUUUCAAUUUUUUACUUAGUAAUGCCCAACACUAAAUUUCUUAAAAAAAAAUGCAAAACACUAAAUAAUAAGUUUAAGACUAAUAAAUGUGGGGUGUUACUCGUUAUAUUUUUGAUGUUAUAGUGUUAACUUCACCAAAAAAGUCAUUUUCAUGACUUCAUCAUAGAAUUUUCCAAUUUAAUUUAUAAUCAUGUUAUUUCAAAUAUUUUAUAAAAUUUCAUAAACACUAUAAUUUAAUUUAAUGUAAACAAUGUUAUUUAUGUCACAUAAUUUUAUGUUACGUAUAAAAUAAUCCAGACCUAUUAAUUUUAUGUCAAACAUUAUUUUUCAUUUUAAUAUUAUUUUAAAAACCUAUUAAUUAAACUACCAAAAAAGACCUAUUAAUUUCUUCUCUAAUUAUAUUUGGUAGUGUUGUUAGCAACUACACAUGCCUAGCCGAAAAUGUUAUUUACAACUAAAAGGCCCAAAACAAAAUGGCAGGUCCAUGAAUAAUAACUAAGAAAUAAGAAACUAUUGUUUAAUGAGAAGGUGGGGACCACGCCUGCUGUUCCCCGUACCUGCCAACAAUUUCCAGCAAGUUGCAGUAACAAAUCCUAGCCAUCCAAUUAAAAAACAAUUAUAUCUAUGGUUCUGGUUUAACUUUCCCAUGAAAGGAAAGAAGUUUCCUUUCCCAUACUAAACUUCACCAAUAAUUAGGUAUUAGGAAUACCUUAAUGAAGCUUUGAUGACGGGCCUCUCAACAACAACGAUCUGAAACAGAGAGAGGAGAUGAUCUAAUCUGAAAUACAACAAAGGUUAGCGGCAAUUGAUUUGGUUCUUUCUCAACCGGUACAUUUAUACCAUAAGUUCUCUUCAGAUGGGAGAAGAGAGAGUUUGUCGUUUCCGAUAUAUUGGGGAUCAUAGCCUCUUAUAUAGUGUGAUGACCAUUAGGGUUUUUUCAUUAUUUCAUUAAUGGACCAUCUAGACAUUCACUCAAAUUGAGUCCAUAUCAAUUAUCUAAAUAAAAAUCUAAUAUCUUUAUUAAUUAAUUUAAUCACUAAUCAAUUAAGUCUCAGAAUUGAUAGAUAACUAAUAUAAUUAAGGGAAAAAAAGAUGAAGAAAAAAACUAAAACCGAAUGCUAGUAUAUUGGUAUACAUCCUCUUCCUACUUCCCAAACAAAA
This 2778-nucleotide long non-coding RNA is filed under the name Medicago truncatula (barrel medic). RNAcentral describes it as "long non-coding RNA (MTRU_LNC003365)". The record is from RNAcentral. Lineage: Eukaryota; Viridiplantae; Streptophyta; Magnoliopsida; Fabales; Fabaceae.